GUUCAAUAUGACUCUCCAACAAUGCAACAGUCAUCUGAUGACAUCAGAGAGGAACAUAGUUCUGUUGCAGAGGAAUCUAGUCCAAUCAAGACAGCAAAUCCAAGUCCUUUUAUGACUGAAGGUCUUCCUCCUCAUGUGACACAGGAGACCAGUUUUGUGACGUCUGAAGAUACAAACUCUACUGAAAAGCUCAGUUCAAGUGUUCUAGAAGAGCUGAGUUCAAGCUUUCCAGGAGACCAUAGUAGCAGCAUUAAUGAAGAUGGCUCUUAGUGUUACAGG
Non-coding RNA from Pelobates cultripes (western spadefoot toad), 279 nucleotides. NCBI's taxonomy places the organism in Eukaryota, Metazoa, Chordata, Amphibia, Anura, Pelobatidae. The record is from the annotation of a GenBank genome assembly.